This 2901-nucleotide ribosomal RNA is filed under the name Klebsiella pneumoniae. Its description in RNAcentral is "23S ribosomal RNA". It matches the Rfam family "Bacterial large subunit ribosomal RNA". Lineage: Bacteria; Pseudomonadati; Pseudomonadota; Gammaproteobacteria; Enterobacterales; Enterobacteriaceae. The record is from RNAcentral.
GGGUUGUGAGGUUAAGCGACUAAGCGUACACGGUGGAUGCCCGGCAGUCAGAGGCGAUGAAGGACGUGCUAAUCUGCGAAAAGCGUCGGUAAGGUGAUAUGAACCGUUAUAACCGGCGAUGUCCGAAUGGGGAAACCCAGUGCAAUUCGUUGCACUAUCGUUAACUGAAUACAUAGGUUAACGAGGCGAACCGGGGAACUGAAACAUCUAAGUACCCCGAGGAAAAGAAAUCAACCGAGAUUCCCCCAGUAGCGGCGAGCGAACGGGGAGCAGCCCAGAGUCUGAAUCAGCUUGUGUGUUAGUGGAACGGUCUGGAAAGUCCGACGGUACAGGGUGAUAGUCCCGUACACCAAAAUGCACAGGUUGUGAACUCGAAGAGUAGGGCGGGACACGUGGUAUCCUGUCUGAAUAUGGGGACCAUCCUCCAAGGCUAAAUACUCCUGACUGACCGAUAGUGAACCAGUACCGUGAGGGAAAGGCGAAAAGAACCCCGGCGAGGGAGUGAAAAGAACCUGAAACCGUGUACGUACAAGCAGUGGGAGCACCUUCGGGUGUGACUGCGUACCUUUGUAUAAUGGGUCAGCGACUUAUAUUCUGUAGCAAGGUUAACCGUAUAGGGAGCCGCAGGAAACCGAGUCUUAACUGGGCGUUAAGUUGCAGGGUAUAGACCCGAAACCCGGUGAUCUAGCCAUGGGCAGGUUGAAGGUUGGGUAACACUAACUGGAGGACCGAACCGACUAAUGUUGAAAAAUUAGCGGAUGACUUGUGGCUGGGGGUGAAAGGCCAAUCAAACCGGGAGAUAGCUGGUUCUCCCCGAAAGCUAUUUAGGUAGCGCCUCGUGAAUUCAUCUUCGGGGGUAGAGCACUGUUUCGGCUAGGGGGUCAUCCCGACUUACCAACCCGAUGCAAACUACGAAUACCGAAGAAUGUUAUCACGGGAGACACACGGCGGGUGCUAACGUCCGUCGUGAAGAGGGAAACAACCCAGACCGCCAGCUAAGGUCCCAAAGUCAUGGUUAAGUGGGAAACGAUGUGGGAAGGCACAGACAGCCAGGAUGUUGGCUUAGAAGCAGCCAUCAUUUAAAGAAAGCGUAAUAGCUCACUGGUCGAGUCGGCCUGCGCGGAAGAUGUAACGGGGCUAAACCAUGCACCGAAGCUGCGGCAGCGACACUAUGUGUUGUUGGGUAGGGGAGCGUUCUGUAAGCCUGCGAAGGUGACCUGUGAGGGUUGCUGGAGGUAUCAGAAGUGCGAAUGCUGACAUAAGUAACGAUAAAGCGGGUGAAAAGCCCGCUCGCCGGAAGACCAAGGGUUCCUGUCCAACGUUAAUCGGGGCAGGGUGAGUCGACCCCUAAGGCGAGGCCGAAAGGCGUAGUCGAUGGGAAACAGGUUAAUAUUCCUGUACUUGGUGUUACUGCGAAGGGGACGGAGAAGGCUAUGUUAGCCGGGCGACGGUUGUCCCGGUUUAAGCAUGUAGGCUGGUUGUCCAGGCAAAUCCGGAUAAUCAAGGCUGAGGUGUGAUGACGAGGCACUACGGUGCUGAAGUAACAAAUGCCCUGCUUCCAGGAAAAGCCUCUAAGCAUCAGGUAACAUCAAAUCGUACCCCAAACCGACACAGGUGGUCAGGUAGAGAAUACCAAGGCGCUUGAGAGAACUCGGGUGAAGGAACUAGGCAAAAUGGUGCCGUAACUUCGGGAGAAGGCACGCUGGUGUGUAGGUGAAGUCCCUGCGGAUGGAGCUGAGACCAGUCGAAGAUACCAGCUGGCUGCAACUGUUUAUUAAAAACACAGCACUGUGCAAACACGAAAGUGGACGUAUACGGUGUGACGCCUGCCCGGUGCCGGAAGGUUAAUUGAUGGGGUUAUCCGUAAGGAGAAGCUCUUGAUCGAAGCCCGGUAAACGGCGGCCGUAACUAUAACGGUCCUAAGGUAGCGAAAUUCCUUGUCGGGUAAGUUCCGACCUGCACGAAUGGCGUAAUGAUGGCGGUCUCCACCCGAGACUCAGUGAAAUUGAACUCGCUGUGAAGAUGCAGUGUACCCGCGGCAAGACGGAAAGACCCCGUGAACCUUUACUAUAGCUUGACACUGAACAUUGAGCCUUGAUGUGUAGGAUAGGUGGGAGGCUUUGAAGCGUGGACGCCAGUCUGCGUGGAGCCAACCUUGAAAUACCACCCUUUAAUGUUUGAUGUUCUAACGUUGGCCCUUACCGGGGUUGCGGACAGUGUCUGGUGGGUAGUUUGACUGGGGCGGUCUCCUCCCAAAGCGUAACGGAGGAGCACGAAGGUUAGCUAAUCUGGUCGGACAUCAGGAGGUUAGUGCAAUGGCAUAAGCUAGCUUGACUGCGAGCGUGACGGCGCGAGCAGGUGCGAAAGCAGGUCAUAGUGAUCCGGUGGUUCUGAAUGGAAGGGCCAUCGCUCAACGGAUAAAAGGUACUCGGGGAUAACAGGCUGAUACCGCCCAAGAGUUCAUAUCGACGGCGGUGUUUGGCACCUCGAUGUCGGCUCAUCACAUCCUGGGGCUGAAGUAGGUCCCAAGGGUAUGGCUGUUCGCCAUUUAAAGUGGUACGCGAGCUGGGUUUAGAACGUCGUGAGACAGUUCGGUCCCUAUCUGCCGUGGGCGCUGGAGAAUUGAGGGGCUGCUCCUAGUACGAGAGGACCGGAGUGGACGCAUCACUGGUGUUCGGGUUGUCAUGCCAAUGGCACUGCCCGGUAGCUAAAUGCGGAAGAGAUAAGUGCUGAAAGCAUCUAAGCACGAAACUUGCCCCGAGAUGAGUUCUCCCUGAGACUUUAAGUCUCCUGAAGGAACGUUAAAGACGAUGACGUUGAUAGGCCGGGUGUGUAAGCGCAGCGAUGCGUUGAGCUAACCGGUACUAAUGAACCGUGAGGCUUAACCUUACAACGCCGAAG